Molecule: ribosomal RNA, 478 nt
Filed under: uncultured bacterium
Lineage: Bacteria
Description: partial 16S ribosomal RNA
Rfam family: Bacterial small subunit ribosomal RNA
Source: RNAcentral
GACGAACGCUGGCGGCGUGCUUAACACAUGCAAGUCGAACGGUAAGGCCCUUCGGGGUACACGAGUGGCGAACGGGGGAGUAACACGUGGGUGAUCUGCCCUGCACUUCGGGAUAAGCCUGGGAAACUGGGUCUAAUACCGGAUAGGACCCUGGGAUGCAUGUCCUGGGGGGGAAAGCUUUUGCGGGGUGGGAUGGGCCCGCGGCCUAUCAGCUUGUUGGUGGGGUGAUGGCCUACCAAGGCGACGACGGGUAGCCGGCCUGAGAGGGUGACCGGCCACACUGGGACUGAGAUACGGCCCAGACUCCUACGGGAGGCAGCAGUGGGGAAUAUUGCACAAUGGGCGCAAGCCUGAUGCAGCGACGCCGCGUGAGGGAUGACGGCCUUCGGGUUGUAAACCUCUUUCAGCACCGACGAAGCGCAAGUGACGGUAGGUGCAGAAGAAGGACCGGCCAACUACGUGCCAGCAGCCGCGGUAA